UACGUAGGUGGCAAGCGUUGUCCGGAUUUACUGGGUGUAAAGGGCGUGUAGGCGGGUACCUAAGUCAGUGGUGAAAUACCGAGGCUCAACCUCGGGGCUGCCAUUGAAACUGGGUAUCUUGAGUGCAGGAGAGGAAAGCGGAAUUCCUAGUGUAGCGGUGAAAUGCGUAGAUAUUAGGAGGAACACCGGUGGCGAAGGCGGCUUUCUGGACUGUAACUGACGCUGAGGCGCGAAAGCGUGGGUAGCAAACAGGAUUAGAUACCCGGGUAGUCCCUGAGCGGG
This 282-nucleotide ribosomal RNA is filed under the name uncultured prokaryote. Its description in RNAcentral is "partial 16S ribosomal RNA". It matches the Rfam family "Bacterial small subunit ribosomal RNA", at positions 524 to 803 of the family's 1533-position model. The record is from RNAcentral.